This 373-nucleotide transfer-messenger RNA is filed under the name Bacteroidota bacterium. Its description in RNAcentral is "Bacteroidetes bacterium (hot springs metagenome) transfer-messenger RNA". It matches the Rfam family "transfer-messenger RNA". Rfam says of the family: Bacterial tmRNA, also known as 10Sa RNA or SsrA, is named for its dual tRNA and mRNA-like properties. Its role is to liberate the mRNA from a stalled ribosome. To accomplish this part of the tmRNA is used as a reading frame that ends in a translation stop signal. Lineage: Bacteria; Pseudomonadati; Bacteroidota. The record is from RNAcentral.
GGGGCUGAUCGGAAUUGACAGCGAUGUUCGUGGUGGGUAAGCAUGCCGAGCUUUGCGUGCAUUUGGCUCGAUAAUCUCAACGUACGAACCGUUUUUACAUGGCGAAUCCAACUUCGCUUUGGCUGCCUAAUUCAAGGAAUUAGGUGCCAUUUGUCCUUCUUCAGGAUGGUCUGUUGACCUGCUGACGGGCAUAAUCAAUAACAGACUGGCUAAAGGGACCGCCGCGACCCGAUAGUAAGAAAUAGCGGAUAAGGCUUUGCAUUGGUGGGUACCUGAACCUGGCAAAGCCCGACAAAUAAGCAGCGUACUAAGCAUGUAGAAAGUUCAUCUCUGCUUUGACUGGACCGGGGUUCGAUUCCCCGCAGCUCCACUU